UUGAAAGGGAAACGAUUGAAGUCAGUCGUACCCACCAAAAAUUCAGCUUUUCNNAUNNCAUUUUUUNCCAUAUGAGAUCUUCAUUGUUUGCAAUAUUAUUUUCUUUNGUNACUUUUUCUAUNUANUCAACUCNUUUUAUCCCAUAAAAUNUCGANAAUUACUUCGNUCNUUAAUUUAUACCUUUGUAAAUUGUAUUAAACCAGAUUCAACAAUACCUUUUAGCUAUCCUCUACCUCUAAAUUACUUAGUUCAAACUUCUUACUUCAUUUAAUUACNUCAAUAGUUAAACUAUUACAUUCGUUAAGGAUGUUGACGUA
This 317-nucleotide ribosomal RNA is filed under the name uncultured Glomeromycotina. RNAcentral's name for it is "partial large subunit ribosomal RNA". Lineage: Eukaryota; Fungi; Glomeromycota. The record is from RNAcentral.